Non-coding RNA from Momordica charantia (bitter melon), 2054 nucleotides. The record is from RefSeq and is a predicted model, not a curated record. Lineage: Eukaryota; Viridiplantae; Streptophyta; Magnoliopsida; Cucurbitales; Cucurbitaceae.
CGUCAAUCGUUCACUCUCGUCUCCGCCGCUCAAAAUUUCUUCCAAUUUCCGCAGUCUGAUUUCUCCCGUUGGAUAAGUUUUUUUUUCUCCGUGAUGAUGGAUAUCGAUGACGAGUCCGAUCUCUAAUCCAUUCACCCGUGACGACAAAACGAGGCAUUUGUCUGAGAGAAAUUCAACCUCCUUUUAUUUUCUUUUUUUCCCUUUUCUGUAAUGAAUGAUUAUUUAUCUUAUUCCUUCUCCGCCGCACUUUCUGUUUAGUUCGAAUUUCUUCUUUUGCGACCGAAGCUCUCGUUUAGUUCAAGGAACCGUUUUGUGUAGAAUUCGGAUUCAAUCUUUUGUUUCAGAUGAAAAAGACAAAUUUGAUUGGAUAGUUUUCUUCUGAAAAACAAAUUUUUAUUCAAGGUUUUCAUUUAUUUAGAGGUUUUUUUCUCGGUGAUGAUUCAAAUCGAUGACGAGUCCGAUCUCUAAUCCAUUCACCUCUGACGACAAAACGAGGCAUUUGUCUGAGAGAAAUCAAACCUCACCAAUUCUUUUGUUUUGUUUCCUUGUCGAAGAUUUGCCCAAACCUUAGAAAUCUUGACACUCCAAGACGAAGAACCACAUCGUUCAAAUGCUAAUGGUUAAUUUGGAGGCCGAUGAUUCCUUCAUAAUAAUUAAUUGCAGUCUUUGCCUAUAAAUAUUAAAGGUUAAAUUACAGAAAUUGGACGUUUAGAAUUUUAUUUGAUACGUUUAUGUUACAUUUUGACGGAAGUGCAUUUUUCAAAACAAAACCUAAUGCUAAUUAGUUUAUGGUAAAGCUCAACGUUUUCAAUUUUUUAUCAAAGUUCUAACAAAAAGAACUUUUUUAUUUCAAGAUGUUUUCUCAAAAUCUACCAUUUUCAACUAAUAUCUUACAAAAUAUAUUACUUGCUAUGCAUAUAAGUUUAUAUAAUUUUAAACAUUCUCUCAAAAUCUUCUAUUUGAAUUGCCAAAUCCACAAUUGUUUGAAAUUUCGUAUUGAGCUUUUCUGCGUACAACUGGGCCCAUUGGACUCCAAUGGGCCGAGGUUUACCCACUGAGAUGGGCAAUUUCGUCUUUCAUAGUAAGAGGGCAUGGACCGGAUCGGUAAGCCCUAGCUUCAGUCUCCCCAUAAGUAGUAAGAUGUUCCACCGUAACCAGGAAGUGAUCUGCUCCGUUUUCUUCAGCUUUGGCUUCGCCGCGCGGUUCUGUCUUUGAAUUUCUGCAUGCGAAUGCCUUGGGGUUUUUCUCGAUCGAUUGUAUUUUGUUUAUAUUUAGUUAGCAAUGUGGAGGUUUUUCUCUGUGAUGAUGAAAAAUUGAUGACGAGUCCGAUCUCUAAUCCAUUUACCCCUGACGACAAAACGAGGCAUUUGUCUGAGAGAAUUUCAACCUCCUUUUCAUUUUCUUCUUUCUUUUACAUUAUGAAUUACUCUUUUUCUUCUUCCUUUUCGGCGGCUCUGGCCAUUGUUAGAGGUUUUAUUGAGGUUUUGAAGAUAGUUUUCCAUUAUUUUGCUUGAUAAUCAUCAUCACGAUUAUCUGUCCAGGAUGAUUUCGAUUUCUGAUUUUCUUGUGCAGAUCUUCUGAUGUGUUUUUUUUUUCUUUUCUUUCAAGUAUUUCUCAUUUUAAUAUAUGGCAGUGGCAUGUGCACAAGCACAAGUGCGGCGAUGAUGAGGAUACAGACUCAAGUUUAAUUGAAACUGAGAUUGGUUCUGUGAUUAUUUCUCAAGCACUUUUGAGCCGUACUGGUACUUGUAAAUUGGCAGCCAAGUUUCUUGAUGCAUUGCGCCGCCUCCGUAGAAUGUUUUUCUGUUGCUUCCUUUUUCUUGAUGCAUUAAACCUAGCUACUUCCAAACCCUAAAACCUCUAGCCAAGUUUCAAUUAAAACUUGUAUACAUACCAAAUUCAUACAAAACAUUAAUGUCAAAGAAAAUCUAGGUUAACCAAUUGAAAUUUCAUAUUCAAAUGUACCUUGUCAGAGUAUACGUAAGAAUUUGAUGUACUUUCCACUCGUGGAAUAUUUUUCAAAUAUUUUGAAUCCCCAAGAAUAUUUCAUUGAA